This 423-nucleotide long non-coding RNA is filed under the name Hordeum vulgare. RNAcentral's name for it is "long non-coding RNA (HVUL_LNC018951)". The record is from RNAcentral. Lineage: Eukaryota; Viridiplantae; Streptophyta; Magnoliopsida; Poales; Poaceae.
CUUCAUAUUGCUCAUCAUCAUCAUCUUCUUCUUCUUCAUCAUCAUCAUCAUAAUCAUCAUUAUCAUCAUCAUCAUCUUCUUCUUCUCCUCCUUCUUCAUCAUCAUCUUAUUAUUAUUAUUAUUCAUCCUCUUCUUCUUCUCCUUCUCCUUCUUCUUCUCCUUCUCCUUCUUCUUCUUCUUCUAGUCUUCUUCUUCUUGUUCUUCUUCUUAGCUAAUUAUCCGUCAAAAUAACAUAAUUGGCUUAUUUAGUUCAUUUAUGACAUAAUUCGCUUGGUUAGGUCAAAAAUGGCAUAAUAACCUUGGUUACCUCAUGAAUGUCAUAUACUUAGCUUAUUUUCCUCCAAAUGACAUAAUAAGCUAAAAAUAGCAUAAAAGAAAAAGAAAGAAUAGAAGAGGAAAGAGGAGAAAAAGAAAGAAUAUAAG